Molecule: transfer RNA, 88 nt
Filed under: Kosmotoga arenicorallina
Lineage: Bacteria; Thermotogati; Thermotogota; Thermotogae; Kosmotogales; Kosmotogaceae
Also listed under: 4 other names
Rfam family: tRNA
About the family: Transfer RNA (tRNA) molecules are approximately 80 nucleotides in length. Their secondary structure includes four short double-helical elements and three loops (D, anti-codon, and T loops). Further hydrogen bonds mediate the characteristic L-shaped molecular structure. tRNAs have two regions of fundamental functional importance: the anti-codon, which is responsible for specific mRNA codon recognition, and the 3' end, to which the tRNAs corresponding amino acid is attached (by aminoacyl-tRNA synthetases). tRNAs cope with the degeneracy of the genetic code in two manners: having more than one tRNA (with a specific anti-codon) for a particular amino acid; and 'wobble' base-pairing, i.e. permitting non-standard base-pairing at the 3rd anti-codon position.
Source: RNAcentral
GCCGGGGUGGCGGAAUUGGCAGACGCGCAUGACUCAGGAUCAUGUGGGCAUUAUGCCUGUGCGGGUUCAAGUCCCGCCUCCGGCACCA